Long non-coding RNA from Mesocricetus auratus (golden hamster), 365 nucleotides. RefSeq lists it as uncharacterized. Lineage: Eukaryota; Metazoa; Chordata; Mammalia; Rodentia; Cricetidae. The transcript is spliced from 2 exons. The record is from RefSeq and is a predicted model, not a curated record.
UCACAGCACAGCAGGCAGGAAGAAAGCAUGACAGUGUUUUGACACCUCAGAUUAGGAAACACUGAGAAAAUCUGCCACCAUGACAAGUAGUAGUGGAGUGAGAAAUGCUCAGUGUACACGUCAGGUAGGCAUCUUAAUCAAGUGCAGAUGUUCCUGUUAAAUAACGUUAGGUGUGGAUCCCUUUCUACCACACGCUGCUUGAAUCCAGAUCCCAUCCAGAAUGCAUCCGCAUAGGAUCAGUUCAAGACACAGGCAAAGUCCGAAAAACUUGAAACUUGAGUGCUAGAGCUGACUUAGAAGUGGAGCACCUUUAUCGGAAUGUCCUCCUGGUAUCCCCAAAUAUAAUAAACUGAAAACCAAAUUCA